Molecule: long non-coding RNA, 993 nt
Filed under: Olea europaea subsp. europaea
Lineage: Eukaryota; Viridiplantae; Streptophyta; Magnoliopsida; Lamiales; Oleaceae
Source: RNAcentral
GCCAAAAGUAGCCCAAACCAAUCGCAGAAACCAAAUUGCUGUCCAAACAAAUUUAACUCAAAAUUCAGCCCAUUCACUAUGCUUUCAAAAUUCUAAAUGAAGCCGCCCAAAAAUAUAAAAUACUGCAGCCCAAUCAGUAGCCCAAAAGAAUAAAUCAUCAAUAGUCUAAAUUUUAGCCCAAAAGAAAAAAAGUGCAGUAACAACCUUAGAAUGAAAAUUAAAAAACCCUAAAAUAUAUAGUGAUCCAUAGAUAGCGAAACCAGAUUGUCUAAGGCUUAACGUUUUUAGGAACCAAGGUUGCACCAAACUCGACAAUGUAGUCAUAUCGGUCAGGAUCUGCCUUGAUCGCAAAAGGAGCGGAACAUGAAUUACAGUUGAAUUUGAACCUCCAAAUGGGUAUUAUCUCAAAUAAUGUUUCCCAUCCUGCCUCUUCCUUCACUGCUACAAAUCUGUUGCCCUUUUCCAUGCAAAAACCACAAUGUUCGCAAUACACGUUGAAAGGAAGCAUCAUCUUUACCUUAAACUUCUGCCUUUUCUCCUCCAUUGGCUUCUCUAAAAUCUUCUGAACCUUCGAGUCCGGUAAAGAAAAGCUCUCCGUUGCCAUGACAAAAACCCUAUAUUUCAAUGUGAAUAACACCAGAAGAAAACUAUCGUACUUUCAAGAUUGAUUUUUUCUCUAACUUGAAUCCAAAAAAAAUGCAACAAAGUAAAACAAAAAAAAAUUGGCCGGAAAAUGAUACCUUGCAAGUUUAACCCAAAAUCAAACCCGCUCUGAUACCAUGUAGAAAACAACAAACCAAAGAUGAAGAAUGGAGGAGAAAGAGAGAAAACCGAUUGAUAGCAGCCUCCAAACUUGGUUGCAUAAUGUAAGAUUACAAUGGUUUAUAUAGUGCAAAACUAAGGAAACACAAUAAGACUAAACUACCCUUAACCUAAUUAACUUAUUACUUUAACAAUAACCAUAUUAAAGACAAAUCAGGGCUCAAAAAGACG